AGCAACAGAGGAUUGGCGUUG
RNAcentral lists this non-coding RNA (21 nucleotides) under Arabidopsis thaliana (thale cress). The record is from RNAcentral. Lineage: Eukaryota; Viridiplantae; Streptophyta; Magnoliopsida; Brassicales; Brassicaceae.